RNAcentral lists this ribosomal RNA (3100 nucleotides) under Microbacterium sp. ARD31. RNAcentral describes it as "23S ribosomal RNA". It matches the Rfam family "Bacterial large subunit ribosomal RNA". Lineage: Bacteria; Bacillati; Actinomycetota; Actinomycetes; Micrococcales; Microbacteriaceae. The record is from RNAcentral.
AGACAAGCUAUGAAGGGCACAUGGUGGAUGCCUUGGCAUCAAGAGCCGAUGAAGGACGUUGGAGCCUGCGAUAAGCCCUGGGGAGUUGGCAACCAAGCUGUGAUCCGGGGGUGUCCGAAUGGGGAAACCCAGCACGAGUCAUGUCGUGUUACCUGCACCUGAAUAUAUAGGGCGGGUAGAGGGAACGUGGGGAAGUGAAACAUCUCAGUACCCACAGGAAGAGAAAGCAACCGCGAUUCCGUUAGUAGUGGCGAGCGAAACCGGAACAGGCUAAACCUAGCGUGUGUGAUAGCCGGCAGGCGUUGCACGUUGGGGGUUGUGGGACCGCUCACUCUCAUCUGCCGGUGAGGGACAGAGUAAGAAACCAGUGUGGAAGUCGAAGUCGGUUGGAAAGCCGUACCGUAGAGGGUGAUAGGCCCGUAGACGUAAGACGCUGGCUCUGGAGCGUGUUCCCAAGUAGCACGGGGCCCGAGAAAUCCCGUGUGAAUCUGUCAGGACCACCUGAUAAGCCUAAAUACUCCCAGAUGACCGAUAGCGGACAAGUACCGUGAGGGAAAGGUGAAAAGUACCCCGGGAGGGGAGUGAAAUAGUACCUGAAACCGUUUGCUUACAAACCGUUGGAGCACCCCUGGUAGGUGUGACAGCGUGCCUUUUGAAGAAUGAGCCUGCGAGUUAGCGAUAUGUGGCGAGGUUAACCCGUGUGGGGUAGCCGUAGCGAAAGCGAGUCUGAAUAGGGCGAUUCAGUCGCAUGUCCUAGACCCGAAGCGAAGUGAUCUAUCCAUGGCCAGGCUGAAGCGACGGUAAGACGUCGUGGAGGGCCGAACCCACUUAGGUUGAAAACUGAGGGGAUGAGCUGUGGAUAGGGGUGAAAGGCCAAUCAAACUUCGUGAUAGCUGGUUCUCUCCGAAAUGCAUUUAGGUGCAGCGUUGCGUGUUUCUUGCCGGAGGUAGAGCUACUGGAUGGCCGAUGGGCCCUACAAGGUUACUGACGUCAGCCAAACUCCGAAUGCCGGUAAGUGAGAGCGCAGCAGUGAGACUGUGGGGGAUAAGCUUCAUAGUCGAGAGGGAAACAACCCAGACCACCAACUAAGGUCCCAAAGCGCGUGCUAAGUGGGAAAGGAUGUGGAGUUGCUGUGACAACCAGGAGGUUGGCUUAGAAGCAGCCACCCUUGAAAGAGUGCGUAAUAGCUCACUGGUCAAGUGAUUCCGCGCCGACAAUGUAACGGGGCUCAAGCACGCCACCGAAGUUGUGGCAUUGACAUUAUUGGUAGGCCUUCGUGGUCCAGCCGUGUUGAUGGGUAGGAGAGCGUCGUGUGGCCAGCGAAGCGGCGGUGUGAACCAGCCGUGGAGGCUACACGAGUGAGAAUGCAGGCAUGAGUAGCGAAAGACGUGUGAGAAACACGUCCUCCGAAAGACCAAGGGUUCCAGGGUCAAGCUAAUCUUCCCUGGGUAAGUCGGGACCUAAGGCGAGGCCGACAGGCGUAGUCGAUGGACAACGGGUUGAUAUUCCCGUACCGGCGAAGUUGCGCCCAUGACGAACCUGGUGAUGCUAACCACCCGAAGCAUCUCGGACCGGACCCUUCGGGGCGAGGCCGUGGUGUGGAGCGUGGGACCCGAGCUGGUAGUAGUCAAGCGAUGGGGUGACGCAGGAAGGUAGCCCAACCCGGGCGAUGGUUGUCCCGGGGCAAGUGCGUAGGCCGAGAGAUAGGCAAAUCCGUCUCUCAUUCAGGCUGAGACACGAUGCGGAUAAAAAGUGGGUGAUCCUAUGCUGCCAAGAAAAGCAUCGACGCGAGGUUCUAGCUGCCCGUACCCCAAACCGACUCAGGUGGUCAGGUAGAGAAUACCAAGGAGAUCGAGAGAAUCGUGGUUAAGGAACUCGGCAAAAUGCCCCCGUAACUUCGGGAGAAGGGGGGCCAUCCACUUAUACGGACUUGCUCCGGAAAGGGUGUGGUGGCCGCAGAGACUAGUGGGUAGCGACUGUUUACUAAAAACACAGGUCCGUGCCAAGUCGCAAGACGAUGUAUACGGACUGACGCCUGCCCGGUGCUGGAAGGUUAAGAGGACCGGUUAGCCGCAAGGCGAAGCUGAGAAUUUAAGCCCCAGUAAACGGCGGUGGUAACUAUAACCAUCCUAAGGUAGCGAAAUUCCUUGUCGGGUAAGUUCCGACCUGCACGAAUGGCGUAACGACUUCCCAACUGUCUCAACCGCGAACUCGGCGAAAUUGCAUUACGAGUAAAGAUGCUCGUUACGCGCAGCAGGACGGAAAGACCCCGUGACCUUUACUACAGCUUGGUAUUGGUGUUCGGUGUGGCUUGUGUAGGAUAGGUGGGAGACUGUGAAGCGGUGACGCCAGUUACCGUGGAGUCGUUGUUGAAAUACCACUCUGGUCACUCUGGAUAUCUAACUUCGAACCGUAAUCCGGUUCAGGGACAGUGCCUGGUGGGUAGUUUAACUGGGGCGGUUGCCUCCCAAAAAGUAACGGAGGCGCCCAAAGGUUCCCUCAACCUGGUUGGCAAUCAGGUGGCGAGUGUAAGUGCACAAGGGAGCUUGACUGUGAGACUGACAGGUCGAGCAGGGACGAAAGUCGGGACUAGUGAUCCGGCAGUGGCUUGUGGAAGCGCUGUCGCUCAACGGAUAAAAGGUACCUCGGGGAUAACAGGCUGAUCUUGCCCAAGAGUCCAUAUCGACGGCAUGGUUUGGCACCUCGAUGUCGGCUCGUCGCAUCCUGGGGCUGGAGUAGGUCCCAAGGGUUGGGCUGUUCGCCCAUUAAAGCGGUACGCGAGCUGGGUUUAGAACGUCGUGAGACAGUUCGGUCCCUAUCCGCUGCGCGCGUAGGAAAUUUGAGAGGAUCUGACCCUAGUACGAGAGGACCGGGUUGGACGAACCUCUGGUGUGCCAGUUGUUCUGCCAAGAGCACCGCUGGUUAGCUACGUUCGGGAUGGAUAACCGCUGAAAGCAUCUAAGCGGGAAGCCGGCCUCAAGAUGAGGUUUCCCACCACACAAGUGGGUAAGGCCCCCCACAGAACAUGGGGUUGAUAGGCCGGAGGUGUACAGCAGUAAUGCCCAGCCGACCGGUACUAAUAGGCCGAGGGCUUGUCCCA